Molecule: ribosomal RNA, 431 nt
Filed under: uncultured archaeon
Lineage: Archaea
Description: bacterial SSU rRNA
Rfam family: Archaeal small subunit ribosomal RNA
Source: RNAcentral
CCUGACUGCUAUCGGAUUGAUACUAAGCCAUGCGAGUCAUUGUAGCAAUACAAGGCAGACGGCUCAGUAACGCGUAGUCAAUCUACCCUAUGGACGGGAAUAACCUCGGGAAACUGAGAAUAAUGCCCGAUAGAACAUUAUACCUGGAGCGGUUUAUGUUUCAAAUGAUUUAUCGCCGUAGGAUGGGACUGCGGCCUAUCAGUUUGUUGGUGAGGUAAUGGCCCACCAAGACUAUUACAGGUACGGGCUCUGAGAGGAGUAGCCCGGAGAUGGGUACUGAGACACGGACCCAGGCCCUAUGGGGCGCAGCAGGCGAGAAAACUUUGCAAUGUGCGAAAGCACGACAAGGUUAAUCCGAGUGGUUUCUGCUAAAGAAACCUUUUGCUAGUCCUAGAAACACUAGUGAAUAAGGGGUGGGCAAGUUCUGGUGU